UGUAAAGGCGCUAACACUUAAGUUUUCCUUUUCACAAACCCGCGCCCUUCUCCUUCAUUCAGAGAUUAGACUUCCCCUUCUUCUUCGCCACUUUCACCAUUCUUCUUUGCCUUCACUCACCACCACUCACCGUCGCCAUUCUCCUUCGUCUUCACCUUCGCUCACGACUCACCUUCUCCGCUCCUCAUCUUCACCUUCGCUCACCACUCACCGUGCUCACCAUCAUCAUCUCGUGCGAUCAGCGUCGCUGCUUACCAUAGUCGUCUGUGUGCUCACCGUCGUUGUUCACCAUCGUUGUUUGUGCGCUCACCAGAUUUGGAUAAAUUUCUUUUACCAAGAUUGAGAAGGAAGAUUCUUGGUUCUUGGAGUCGUAUCAGAAGAAUCCUGGUCAAGCUGCGACUUUCGUGAAGCAUAUUCAAGAAGGGAUUGAGAUUGCGGCCAGAGAUGAGAAUGCUCUGCUUUUGUUCAGUGGGAGAGAGACUCAGAAAGAUGCGGGACCUCGCAGCGAGGCGCAGAAUUACUGGGCUGUAGCAGAUUACAAGGGAUGGUUUGGGUUCAUCGAGCUGGGCCGUGGGAAAAAAUAUAUUGUGAACCAAAAGAAGUAAAGGCUGCAAUUGUUACCUGUGGAGGCCUCUGUCCUGGUCUUAAUGAUGUCAUUAGACAGGUUGAUGAGCUUGUUGUUCAAGCAUUUAAAGUCAAGAAUUUAAGCAAUGAGGGGAGAAAAAGAAAUCAAGUCUUUCUCCGAUUUCUUGUUUGAUAUGCAUUCAUCUUUUAAGUGCCUGUUGCAUUGUUAUCUGCCUUAUUGCUAGCGAUGAUUUUAUAAAGUUUGAUGUGAUUUUGGGAAGCGAGAAAAUCAAGGCAAGUGCAUUUUAAACUUAAAUGUCAGCUGCAUUAUGCAAACAUUGUUCAAGGCAUUAACAAUUUAACAUAUUGUCGUAUGUUGUUAAUUUCUGAUCUUUUUGUUUCAUGCAAUAGGCUCCAGUACUUUUCCAGGAGAUUGGCCAUUCAUUAAACCCUUCCAAUAGCUUGGUGUUGAAAGUUCUCUCGGCAUCUCCUUUAGCUUAUUGGAACUUCAAUGUCAUUUGUCUCGGUUGUUCAGUAUAAGUGACGACAUUGGUAAAACUGAAGGUGAAACUGGUGGACAUGUUCUUUGUGCAAUUGAUAUGCCAAGUUUUAGGUGUUGUUUGUAACUGAGUCUUUUUCUUUGUUAGUUUACUAAUUUAGUCAUGUUUUUUAGAGCUAUUGAAUAGAUAGAAUAACAUUUGAUCAAACCCAAAGGCUUAGUUAUUAUUGUCUUUAAACAUGGUUUGAACUUUUUAAAUGUGUAUAAUUUUGA
This is a long non-coding RNA of Arachis ipaensis, 1336 nucleotides long. RefSeq lists it as uncharacterized. Lineage: Eukaryota; Viridiplantae; Streptophyta; Magnoliopsida; Fabales; Fabaceae. The record is from RefSeq and is a predicted model, not a curated record.